GAGGAUCAAUCUUGAGAGAGGAGAAGUUUACAUCUAGGAGUGAGGGGACCGCAUCACGAAUUCUGGAGGUUUUUCUUCUAGGGGGAUCUUUUGGCCGCUAAAGAAAGAAGCAGAGAGGGGAGGAUCGAUCUUGAGAGAGGAGAAGUUUACAUCUAGGAUUGAGGGGACCGCAUCACAAAUUCUGGAGGUUUUUCAUCUUUCAUCUUUUUGGGAUCUUUUGGCCGGAAAAGAA
Molecule: long non-coding RNA, 232 nt
Filed under: Vitis vinifera (wine grape)
Lineage: Eukaryota; Viridiplantae; Streptophyta; Magnoliopsida; Vitales; Vitaceae
Description: long non-coding RNA (VVIN_LNC003550)
Source: RNAcentral